GGUUAAGUGACUAAGCGUACACGGUGGAUGCCUGGGCAGUCAGAGGCGAUGAAGGACGUACUAACUUGCGAUAAGCGCAGAUAAGGCAGUAAGAGCCGUUUGAGUCUGCGAUUUCCGAAUGGGGAAACCCAACUGCAUAAGCAGUUACUGUUAACUGAAUACAUAGGUUAACAGAGCAAACCGGGGGAACUGAAACAUCUAAGUACCCCGAGGAGAAGAAAUCAACCGAGAUUCCGGUAGUAGCGGCGAGCGAACCUGGAUUAGCCCUUAAGCACUCGGUGAAGUAGGUGAACAAGCUGGAAAGCUUGGCGAUACAGGGUGAUAGCCCCGUAACCGACGCUUCAUCGAGCGUGAAAUCGAGUAGGGCGGGACACGUGAUAUCCUGUCUGAAUA
This 393-nucleotide ribosomal RNA is filed under the name Vibrio cholerae TMA 21. RNAcentral describes it as "bacterial LSU rRNA". It matches the Rfam family "Bacterial large subunit ribosomal RNA", at positions 1 to 444 of the family's 2925-position model. Lineage: Bacteria; Pseudomonadati; Pseudomonadota; Gammaproteobacteria; Vibrionales; Vibrionaceae. The record is from RNAcentral.